CACCGGUUCAAACCGAUGCCAACUUAAAAAAAAUAUAUAUAGUAUGGAAGAGAGUUGGCACCGGUUCGCCUUAAACCGGUACCAACUAUGGUAAUUAGCACCGGUUCAAACCGGUGCCAUUUUUGAAAAAAAAAACCCCGGUUUCGUUAUGUAGUAUACUCUUUCUUUCUCUUGCUUUCAUUUCCUCAAUCUUUCCUCCUCUCUCAUCUGAUCUGCCUCUCUCUCCCCUCCAUUGAAGCUUUCUCUCACUUUCCUCAAACUCCUUCUCUCUCCUUCGAUCUCUAUAACCGCCACUUUCCUUUUCCUUUCAUCUCGAUCUCUUUCGAUCUCCUUCUCCUUCUCUCUUUGAGGUUAGGGUUUCUGGGUGCGUCUAUUUUGAAUCAAUUCGAUGUGCGUGCGUCUUCAACAACAACAAAUUCGAAUCAAUUUCGAACCAAAAAUAAGAAAUUCGAGGUGUCACUCAUGCCUUGGUAACAAGGGGGUGCUGGUUUUAUUGGAUCACAUGCAGCACUAACACUUUUAAGACUUGUAUCAUGAGACAAUUGUGGUAUCCUCUCCCUUCAAUCAUCCUUACUGUCCACUAAUCUUUCUCGUGUGCAGAUGCAUCUAAAACUAGUACUGAAAAAGAAGCAAUGCAGAACACAGUUCGUAAAGCAAGUCGAGCUCUCACAGAGCAAGAAGCAAGACAGAUUGUGUGUUGGUGACUAAUGAGACCCUGCUGUUGUGUGGUGUAUGUACACGUACGAUAAAGAAGCUAGACUUCAGCGCAUUAAAGCAUACGUAGGCUUCUUAAACGAGACUAGCAACCCAAUCAAAAACAGACCAGCAGCCCACCAAAACAGCAGCACCAUCCUACACCACUACUGCUCAGAACCCAAACAGCAGCCCAACCAGUACAGAGCAGACACCAGCAAUCCCUGUAGGAAAACAGGCAGACAGACAGCACCAGCUGAGCAUAAAGUCAAAGGAGACAGACUCUAAAUCCAUGAGCAGCAGCUUCCAGCAAGUCCUGACAGCAGCCUGCACAGAAAACAGACACAUCUGCAUCACCACCAAGAACCAGCCUAGCAACACAGCAGCUCAACAUCACAGCUCCCCAGAAUACCAGCAACAUGGCUGCAAAAGGAAAACAGACAACAGCACGGUAGUAUCAACACAACAAACUUCUCAACAAACUAGAACAAGAUCCAAGUGUACUAGUCAUCAUUCAACUGAAAUCUCAAGUGUUUUUUUUUUUUUUUUUUUUUUUUUUUUUUUUUUUUUUUUUUAGUU
This is a long non-coding RNA of Chenopodium quinoa (quinoa), 1272 nucleotides long. RefSeq lists it as uncharacterized. NCBI's taxonomy places the organism in Eukaryota, Viridiplantae, Streptophyta, Magnoliopsida, Caryophyllales, Amaranthaceae. The transcript is spliced from 4 exons. The record is from RefSeq and is a predicted model, not a curated record.